Molecule: non-coding RNA, 385 nt
Organism: Salvelinus sp. IW2-2015
Lineage: Eukaryota; Metazoa; Chordata; Actinopteri; Salmoniformes; Salmonidae
Source: RefSeq, a predicted model, not a curated record
AGUGAAACUGUGCGCUAACGUCCUGAAUUUGUCCACUUAGAACAGAUAUUUUGUUUUCAGUUGCAAACGGAACGAAAUGGGGAGGGGCCUACCUGAAUUUGUCCAAUAUAAACUAUAGUUUGCUUUUGGAGUAAACGCAACAGACUAAACGUUUUGCAACAGAAUCGGUGUAAUGAUUACACCCCAGAACUCUGCCAGACAAUUUUAUGCAACAAUCCCCAGUAUAUUUGUUAUGAUGCGAAGAAAGUACAACAUUUCGAGUGGCAGUAAACUAUUACAACCUUCUUGGUGUAAAACCUGAUGCCUCACUGGAGCAAAUAAAGAAUGCAUUUUUUGACAAAUCAAAAAAGUGCACUAGAACUCCUGCAGCAAGAACCCACAACAU